UUCCCCUAGUAACUGCGAGUGAAGCGGGAAAAGCUCAAAUUUAAAAUCUGGCAGCCUUUGGUUGUCCGAGUUGUAGUCUGGAGAAGCGUCUUCCGCGCUGGACCGUGUACAAGUCCCUUGGAAUAGGGCGUCAUAGAGGGUGAGAAUCCCGUCUUUGACACGGACUCCCAGUGCUUUGUGAUGCGCUCUCAAAGAGUCGAGUUGUUUGGGAAUGCAGCUCAAAAUGGGUGGUAAAUUCCAUCUAAAGCUAAAUAUUGGCGAGAGACCGAUAGCGAACAAGUACCGUGAGGGAAAGAUGAAAAGCACUUUGGAAAGAGAGUUAAACAGUACGUGAAAUUGCUGAAAGGGAAACGCUUGAAGUCAGUCGCGUCAUGCAGAACUCAGCCUGGCUUUUUGCUUGGUGUAUUUUCUGCAUGACGGGCCAGCAUCAGUUUUGGUCGCUGGAAAAAGUCUUCAGGAAUGUGGCACCUUCGGGUGUGUUAUAGCCUGGAGUCGUAUACAGCGGCUGGGACUGAGGAUCGCAGCGCGCCUUUAUGGCUGGGGUUCGCCCAC
This 552-nucleotide ribosomal RNA is filed under the name Somion litschaueri. Its description in RNAcentral is "eukaryotic LSU rRNA". It matches the Rfam family "Eukaryotic large subunit ribosomal RNA", at positions 75 to 606 of the family's 3401-position model. The record is from RNAcentral. Lineage: Eukaryota; Fungi; Basidiomycota; Agaricomycetes; Polyporales; Cerrenaceae.